Molecule: transfer RNA, 77 nt
Filed under: bacterium
Lineage: Bacteria
Description: tRNA-Pro
Rfam family: tRNA
About the family: Transfer RNA (tRNA) molecules are approximately 80 nucleotides in length. Their secondary structure includes four short double-helical elements and three loops (D, anti-codon, and T loops).
Source: RNAcentral
CGGGGAGUGGCGCAGCCCGGUAGCGCACUGCGUUUGGGACGCAGGGGUCGCAGGUUCAAAUCCUGUCUCCCCGACCA